RNAcentral lists this ribosomal RNA (427 nucleotides) under uncultured bacterium. RNAcentral's name for it is "bacterial SSU rRNA". It matches the Rfam family "Bacterial small subunit ribosomal RNA", at positions 355 to 774 of the family's 1533-position model. The record is from RNAcentral.
UAGGGAAUAUUGGACAAUGGGGGCAACCCUGAUCCAGCCAUGCCGCGUGAGUGAAGAAGGCCCUCGGGUUGUAAAGCUCUUUUGUCCGGAAAGAAAAGCUUCGGGUUAAUACCCCGGGGUUCUGACGGUACCGGAAGAAUAAGCACCGGCUAACUUCGUGCCAGCAGCCGCGGUAAUACGAAGGGUGCAAGCGUUACUCGGAAUUACUGGGCGUAAAGCGUGCGUAGGUGGUUGUUUAAGUCUGAUGUGAAAGCCCUGGGCUCAACCUGGGAAUGGCAUUGGAAACUGGGCAGCUAGAGUGCGGUAGAGGGUAGUGGAAUUCCCGGUGUAGCAGUGAAAUGCGUAGAGAUCGGGAGGAACAUCUGUGGCGAAGGCGACUGCCUGGACCAGUACUGACACUGAGGCACGAAAGCGUGGGGAGCAAACA